RNAcentral lists this ribosomal RNA (433 nucleotides) under uncultured bacterium. Its description in RNAcentral is "partial 16S ribosomal RNA". It matches the Rfam family "Bacterial small subunit ribosomal RNA", at positions 29 to 507 of the family's 1533-position model. The record is from RNAcentral.
AACGAACGCUGGCGGCAUGCCUAACACAUGCAAGUCGAACGAGACCUUCGGGUCUAGUGGCGCACGGGUGCGUAACGCGUGGGAACCUGCCCUUAGGUUCGGAAUAACUCCCCGAAAGGGGUGCUAAUACCGGCUAAUGUCUUCGGACCAAAGAUUUAUCGCCUUUGGAUGGGCCCGCGUUGGAUUAGCUAGUUGGUAGGGUAAAAGCCUACCAAGGCGACGAUCCAUAGCUGGUCUGAGAGGAUGAUCAGCCACACUGGGACUGAGACACGGCCCAGACUCCUACGGGAGGCAGCAGUGGGGAAUAUUGGACAAUGGGCGGAAGCCUGAUCCAGCAAGGCCGGGUGAGUGAUGAAGGCCUUAGGGUUGUAAAGCUCUUUUACCCGGGAUGAUAAUGACGGUACCGGGAGAAUAAGCGCCGGCUAACUCCGUG